Molecule: long non-coding RNA, 487 nt
Filed under: Salvia miltiorrhiza (redroot sage)
Lineage: Eukaryota; Viridiplantae; Streptophyta; Magnoliopsida; Lamiales; Lamiaceae
Description: long non-coding RNA (SMIL_LNC011456)
Source: RNAcentral
AUUCUAGCGGAAACAAAUCAAAAAGAUUAAUAUAAUUUUCGGAAAAAAUUAAAAGAAAUUGCUGAAAAUAGAACCAUCAAUAAUCGGACAAUUAAUUAAAACAAAAAUAGUCAAUUCAUAAAUUUUUGAAAAAAAAAAAUAGAAAAACAAAUAACAUAAAUUUCAAAAAAAAAAUUAAUUCAAAAAAAUAAAUUAUUUCGGAACAAUAAAAAAAUAAUACUCCCUCCGUCCACGAAAGAACUUCCUAUCUUUCUUUUUUGGGACGUCCACGAAAGAACUUCCUACCUAUUUUUGGACUAUACCCCACCACUUAUAAUCCUCUUACUUUUUCACUUUUCACAACUCCCAAUAUUAAUUAUAACACUUUUUCACCACUCCCAAUACACUCAACUACCUUUUAUCCACUUUCAAUACACUCAACAAUAUUUUUUCUUAAAACUCGUGCCACUCCCUCCUAGGAAGUUCUUUCAUGGACGGAGGGAGUAUA